Long non-coding RNA from Microcebus murinus (gray mouse lemur), 2610 nucleotides. RefSeq lists it as uncharacterized. NCBI's taxonomy places the organism in Eukaryota, Metazoa, Chordata, Mammalia, Primates, Cheirogaleidae. The record is from RefSeq and is a predicted model, not a curated record.
CUGCUUUGCAGCAAACUGACGCAGUGUACACCUACUCCAGAGCACUAGUGCCUGCUAAUUAUUUACAGCACUAUUUUUGCUCUCAAUAUUAAACUAUGUGGUUUCCCUAUUAGUUCUACUGCAGACAGCAGACACUGGGGUGAAGCCUACAAGCACCCCCUCUUUUCACUACCGAUUCAGCUGUUUCUCUGCUCAUGGGCACCUCCAUCCAAGGUUUAGAAAACUCAAAUCCAUCCUCUCAUUCUGGAGUCCUCGGAUAGGAACAGUAUCUACAGACACAUUUUUUUGUUGAAGGACAAACCAUAAAUAAAUCCAAAUUUUGAUUUCUUAACAAAUGGUGGUAGAAUUGAGUAAGAGUCAAACUCAGAGAGAGUCUCUAACUGGGAGGAAGUGUGUGCAGAUGUGAACAUUGCCCAGUGGAACGUGUGUGUGUGUGACCAGAGCACCCGAGACCUUACCAGCUCGCAACAACCACGAUGGCAACCGUGACGAUGACAAUGACAUUGGCUCACAUUGAUUAGGCGUGGACCCUGGGCCAAUGGUUGCUGUCUGUAGUACCCUAAUUUGGGGACCGAUGGCUUGUUGGCCGGCUUCCUGCAGGACAAGGCUACCUUGAGCGGGACCACACUCCAGCAACCAUCAGCUUCACCAUGAAGGCCCAUCACAUCUUUGUCACACCUAGGGCACCGGAAUAACAGACUCUGCUCGCUUCCCCGUGUGUAGGGGAGAGGGCACUGCGGGGCUAGGAGUCUUCAUGCUUCCUCAUCGUCAGGAGAAAAGAGAUUUUCACCAGUGAGCGCUUUUGCAAGCCGUCAGCUAGCAACCGCUGGCGCUAAUGCACUCACAGCUCCGCCUAACUGAGGUCUCUAACGCCUUGAGGAGCAGGCACUGAAGAAAGGCCACAUGCACAAGUGGGGUGACAGCAGCCACCUACAAGCUAGAAAAGGGGCAUCACCAGGAACCAACCAUGCUGGUACCUUGAUCUAAGCCUCCAGCCUCCAGGACUGAUAGCUCCACCCCAACCCAGAGAGCAAGGCCGUGCACACCUUAGCAUCCUUGAUGGAAAUUGACACUCAAAUAUGGAUUGGUCUCAUUCAAAUUCAAUUCAGCAUUUCAGGCCACUUGAGGAAAGGUCUGUCUACGUUUGUGAACGGAUGCUUUUUGCAAAUAAUUCAAGAAGAGGUCCAGCUUUCUAUCUUUAGGAUUGUAUUCUAACUGCGGUAAUGUUUCCUAAAGAUACUGUUUGAGAGAACUCCUUUUGAGACUUCCACGUACAAAUUGAAAUUAUGGAUUGAUUCCCUUAGUAGGUAGGUGUUAAUGGGUUUUCCUUACUCUGGACAAUGCUUUAAAAUUGUUUUUCAUCCCUCUGAAGUAGUUCAAAUCUCCAACCUGCCAUCGUGUUUAUGUUAUUUCUUCAUGGUAAGAGCCCUUUAUAAUCACAAAGGUAAGUAAGUGCCAGCUCCCCCUUUAUCCGAACCACUGUGAUUUCCCAGAAAGUUAAACCAGAAUUAGUGAAGUUUAAUGACAUGUGCAUUUUACAAAAUAAGUUCUCUUCCCUAAUUGAUUUACAUUUUGCUAAAGCUCUGUCUUUUCGUAGCACGUCCAUUACUACUUGGGAAAGAAAAAAAAGGCCCCAAAAUGUUUUGGGGGGCUGCUUUCCCACUGCUCCCCUCCAUCCUAGACGGGGUGUCCAUUCUUUCUCUGAAACGUAUCGCAACACCGUUGCAAUAACAGCAGACAAGGGAAGGACUGGCUUCUUGGGAACUCACUGCACCUCCACUUAGAAACUCAGGUGGCCCAGCGCUCACAGCAGCCGAUGAAGAUAAGAGUGUUUGAUUGUCACACAGGAUACUUAACCCAGCGGGGCUGCUCUGUCCUCACUGGGAAGAGGGUCACAGUGCAUUUCCUUUCCUCCAGUGGAUCUGGGCUUGUUAUCUGUAGGAAGCACUCUGCAAAGCCUUCCUGGAUUAUUGAUGAAGCAGCUGAAGAAGCUUCUCUGUACUUACGUUCUGGACAGCACAGCCUACGCAUCCUGAGACCCUUCACCUGGGGGGAAGGGCCCUCCUGUCCUUCUUGUGCAAUGGCAGUGGCUGUGCCCUCCUGUGACUCUGUUUCCUGCCCCACCCUCUCCAGCUGCUGCUCCCCACUGCCCAUAGGGGGCUUGGCCACGAGUGUCUGUAUCCAGAAUCCUUGAGAAACAUUCCGUGCUCCCUGGAGCACUUCCAUUAUUAACUCCAAACAUCUUCAGCACGGUACCCAACGCCCUCCACAGUUUCCCCUCAUCUAAAUGCUUUGGCUUCUCUCUUAUUACAGCUUCCCAAGCAUGUGACUCAACCCCCCUGGGUCUGAACAUGAUUUGAUGUCUCCUACCUGUGCUCCAGAUGUUCUCCUUCCACGUGUCCUUCCCUUGUCACCAGUUUAGCCAGUGCUGUGUUGAGCCAGGCUGGAGUCCAGGCAAAAGGAAAGACAAACACCCCCGUAUAUACUUAUCAAAAUAUGCUCUCAUAUUUGGAAUCAGAUGUAAAAGUUAAUAACAGUUCUAUCAUUUUUUAAAAAAUGACUAUAGGCUGGGUGUAGUGGCUCACACCUGUGUAUUCCCAGCACAUUGGG